RNAcentral lists this transfer RNA (87 nucleotides) under Synergistaceae bacterium. RNAcentral describes it as "tRNA-Leu". It matches the Rfam family "tRNA". Rfam says of the family: Transfer RNA (tRNA) molecules are approximately 80 nucleotides in length. Their secondary structure includes four short double-helical elements and three loops (D, anti-codon, and T loops). Further hydrogen bonds mediate the characteristic L-shaped molecular structure. tRNAs have two regions of fundamental functional importance: the anti-codon, which is responsible for specific mRNA codon recognition, and the 3' end, to which the tRNAs corresponding amino acid is attached (by aminoacyl-tRNA synthetases). tRNAs cope with the degeneracy of the genetic code in two manners: having more than one tRNA (with a specific anti-codon) for a particular amino acid; and 'wobble' base-pairing, i.e. permitting non-standard base-pairing at the 3rd anti-codon position. Lineage: Bacteria; Thermotogati; Synergistota; Synergistia; Synergistales; Synergistaceae. The record is from RNAcentral.
GCGAAGGUGGUGGAAACGGUAGACACGCAUGCCUCAGGAGCAUGUGCUCGUAAGGGCAUGGGGGUUCAAGUCCCCCCCUUCGCACCA